AGCCUGAUGCAGCCAUGCCGCGUGUGUGAAGAAGGCCUUCGGGUUGUAAAGCACUUUCAGCGGGGAGGAAGGCGUUAAGGUUAAUAACCUUGUCGAUUGACGUUACCCGCAGAAGAAGCACCGGCUAACUCCGUGCCAGCAGCCGCGGUAAUACGGAGGGUGCAAGCGUUAAUCGGAAUUACUGGGCGUAAAGCGCACGCAGGCGGUCUGUCAAGUCGGAUGUGAAAUCCCCGGGCUCAACCUGGGAACUGCAUUCGAAACUGGCAGGCUAGAGUCUUGUAGAGGGGGGUAGAAUUCCAGGUGUAGCGGUGAAAUGCGUAGAGAUCUGGAGGAAUACCGGUGGCGAAGGCGGCCCCCUGGACAAAGACUGACGCUCAGGUGCGAAAGCGUGGGGAGCAAACAGGAUUAGAUACCCGUGUAGUCC
RNAcentral lists this ribosomal RNA (424 nucleotides) under Klebsiella pneumoniae. Its description in RNAcentral is "bacterial SSU rRNA". It matches the Rfam family "Bacterial small subunit ribosomal RNA", at positions 380 to 796 of the family's 1533-position model. Lineage: Bacteria; Pseudomonadati; Pseudomonadota; Gammaproteobacteria; Enterobacterales; Enterobacteriaceae. The record is from RNAcentral.